UACGUAGGGUGCGAGCGUUGUCCGGAAUUAUUGGGCGUAAAGGGCUCGUAGGCGGUCUGUCGCGUCGGGAGUGAAAACUCAGGGCUUAACCCUGAGCCUGCUUCCGAUACGGGCAGACUAGAGGUAUGCAGGGGAGAACGGAAUUCCUGGUGUAGCGGUGAAAUGCGCAGAUAUCAGGAGGAACACCGGUGGCGAAGGCGGUUCUCUGGGCAGUAACUGACGCUGAGGAGCGAAAGCGUGGGGAGCGAACAGG
RNAcentral lists this ribosomal RNA (253 nucleotides) under uncultured bacterium. Its description in RNAcentral is "partial 16S ribosomal RNA". It matches the Rfam family "Bacterial small subunit ribosomal RNA", at positions 524 to 776 of the family's 1533-position model. The record is from RNAcentral.